Molecule: long non-coding RNA, 831 nt
Filed under: Amphibalanus amphitrite
Lineage: Eukaryota; Metazoa; Arthropoda; Thecostraca; Balanomorpha; Balanidae
Description: uncharacterized LOC122364180, transcript variant X1
Source: RNAcentral
GGCAGUGAGGGAACGGUAUUUCAUGAAGCCUUUUGGUCGUGCUUUGGAGGAUAAGACCGAUAGACGGUUGAUGUGGUAGGAUGUCUGUCAAUGCUCAUGUGUUCUGUGUUAUACGAUGCUAAAUCAUUUCCUAAAGGAACAUUGACCGAAUGAGUCUCUAGUCUCCAUUCAAGACGCGGUACGGCGGUAGUGUGUUCAAUGGAGCACUCAAAGAACCGCAGGAGUGACAAUUAGAAGGAAACCACCCGAUCGUCGUCACUGGCUGCAGUGUCCGCCAGAGAGCUGCUCCUGAGAGCUGCUGCGUCCGCCAGAGAGCUGCUCCUGAGAGCUGCUGUGUCUGCGAGAGAGCUGCUCCUGAGAGCGGAGUCCCGCGAUUGCGCCUCUCCUGGUUCUGCGGAGGUGGCGCUCCUUCUGGUACGUACAGUCCAGGCGCUGAUCAACCUACAGAACGAGGCGGAGCGCUCGUCGCUGCAGAUGGCGCCACCGGGGCUGGCGAGCGACCUCCAGCCGCCCUCCGUGGAGCUCACCGCUGGCACAGACGACCCAGAUCGGCGGAUGUCACCGCCCGCGGCCAUCAGAGGUCAUCGCCGGGGUCAAUCGGCUCGGCGGGCCGGUCUAGCUGCCAGGGGCCGACUGCCGCCGGCGCCGCCCCGUCCGCCACCCGGCGAGGCAGCACUCAUCAAUCAAAUCCGGCCCGAGCCCCCCUCCCCCCUUCCCCAGCCACGUGGCUGGUCGACUUUCAUCUGAAUGCCCCCUCACUCUUACGAAAAACACUUUGGUGCUUAUGUUUUUUUUUUAUCUGUGAAUAUCUCAAUAAAAUACCAAGUACGG